GUAGUCCACGCCCUAAACGAUGUCAACUAGUUGUUGGGGAUUCAUUUCCUUAGUAACGUAGCUAACGCGUGAAGUUGACCGCCUGGGGAGUACGGUCGCAAGAUUAAAACUCAAAGGAAUUGACGGGGACCCGCACAAGCGGUGGAUGAUGUGGAUUAAUUCGAUGCAACGCGAAAAACCCUUACCUACCCUUGACAUGUACGGAAUCCCGCUGAGAGGUGGGAGUGCUCGAAAGAGAACCGUAACACAGGUGCUGCAUGGCUGUCGUCAGCUCGUGUCGUGAGAUGUUGGGUUAAGUCCCGCAACGAGCGCAACCCUUGUCCUUAGUUGCUACCCCGCAAGGGAGCACUCUAGGGAGACUGCCGGUGACAAACCGGAGGAAGGUGGGGAUGACGUCAAGUCCUCAUGGCCCUUAUGGGUAGGGCUUCACACGUCAUACAAUGGUCGGUACAGAGGGUCGCCAACCCGCGAGGGGGAGCUAAUCUCAGAAAACCGAUCGUAGUCCGGAUUGUAGUCUGCAACUCGACUGCAUGAAGCUGGAAUCGCUAGUAAUCGCGGAUCAGCAUGUCGCGGUGAAUACGUUCCCGGGUCUUGUACACACCGCCCGUCACACCAUGGGGAGUGGGCUUUUGACCAGAAGUGGCUAGUCUAACCGCAAGGAGGACGGUCACCACGGUAGGAUUCAUGACUGGGGUGAAGUCGUAACAAGGUAGCCGUAUCGGAAGG
This 726-nucleotide ribosomal RNA is filed under the name uncultured bacterium. RNAcentral's name for it is "bacterial SSU rRNA". It matches the Rfam family "Bacterial small subunit ribosomal RNA", at positions 790 to 1512 of the family's 1533-position model. The record is from RNAcentral.